GAGAGUGUAGAGAGUGGUGUGGGGAGAGUGCAGGCUGAAGAGUUACCUAAGGUCAAAAUCCUGACCUAUGAGCCAAGCCAUCGAUUUGGGAUUUCUACUGAGGACACUGGAAGUCACUAAGAGCAUCUGAAUGGUUAUGUGAAGUUGGCAGUUCCCAAGGGCUUUAGGCUUGAAGCUGUGGGUCAUACCCCUUCGGAAACUUGGUCCCCAAGAGAAAUGUAUGCUUCUGAAAACCACAGGUGCAUGAAUCGUGUUUAGUAAAUGACUACUAAACUGAAAUCAGGACUUGUCUAUAUCUUGGCUUCUCAAACUUGAAUAUGCUUAUCAUCUGGAUAGCAAAAGCAUUCCUACACGUUGAGGCCUGCCAGCGUGGGUGUCACCCAGGAGCCACUCGGAAAGGCUCAUCGGAAACCACCCCGGACUGACUGAGGCAGAAUCUCUGGGGGCAGGACCCAGGCCUCAGCAUAAAAACUCCAGGUGACGGAAGAGCUCCCACCUAACAGUUUUUAUUUUACACGGCUCACUGUGGCUUUGACCUCCCAUGCUGAAGCGAUCCUCCUAUCUCAACCUCUCAAGUAGCUGGAAGCACAGGCAUGCACCACCACACCUGGCUAAUUUUUUUCUUCCUUUUUUAAAGAGACAGUCUUGCCAUGUUGCCCAGGCCCUGUUGACCAGGAAAAAAAAAAGUUUUUUUUCUUUUUUAAAGAAAGAAAAUAAAAGAGACUGAGAAACCACAGAAAUAAAGAAGCGCUGAUGACAAUGCCUGCUUGCUGAUGGUUACGAUGAUCAUAGCAGUGUGCAUUUUGUAUGCAUGAAGCCUGCGACUAAAUAAACGUGUGGGGAAAUAUUUGUAAGGAAAUAAGCUAUUAAUAAAAUAAGCUAAAAUCACAGUUGCUGGACUAUGACUGAUUUUUCCCCUUUCUCUCAUUUAAAAUUAAAUAUUUGUAUGACUUGUAUAAUAGAAAAAUACAUGUAUUCAAUCUUAAAAAGAUAUUCUUAUUUUACACUUUACGGGACAAAAGAGGUUGUAGGUUGGAAUGGUUCAGUCCCCUUGUGACAACUCAAAAACAGAGACCUUAAGCCUUUCUCAACCAAUGUUGCGGGACAAGCAGGCGUGUGAGGCGACAAUGCCAUUAGGGUAUUUUUUGGAAAAAUUUUAGUGUGAGAGACAAAAGCCAAAUUCAAACUGGCCUGAGCCAAAAUAGGUAGGAAAGGGAGAAGCGGAGACAGGGAGGAAGAAAGAGAGAGAACAGAAAGAAAAAGGGAGAAAUGUCGAAAGGCAAAAUUACAACACAUUUAGUUAAAUGAUUGAAUUGGUUUUUAUUUGUAAUUCAUGAAUUGGGGCAGCAUCUCCUCUAAAACUUUAGGAAAAGUGCUCUGAUGAGCUAAACAGAGAAGCUUGGCUUUAUAGGCAGAAAAGGGUGAAGAAAGCAGACACAGGGAACAAAAAGCAGAUUGGUAAGCUCAGGUUACUUCAGGUUACUUUCCUUAUAAAGGUUAAAGUAGAGGGGACUUCCUUAUCAUGCUGGCUACAACUGGCCUGUUUGGGGAUUUGCAUAUUAUCUCUCUCUGUCUUGAGUUCUGGGAAGGUCUGAUGACUUAGUUUCAGUUUGGUGAUAUGGAACUUAGCAUGAGUGACUCCAUCUUGGUUUGGUCUACUGGGGCCUCCUGCAGGAGCUCAGCCCAAAUCAGUGACCUCCUAUAAAUUUCAUUUAAUAGAAAAGGAAGGAAGGAAGGAAGGAAGGAAGGAAGGAAGGAAGGAAGGAAGGAAGGGAGGGAGGGAGGGAGGGAGGGAGGGAGGAAGGGAGGAAAGAAGGAAGGAAAGAAAGAAAGUUGCUUAUAAGUUGCUUAUAACUAAAAAGACCAGCUGGACCCAGGAGCUCUGAGGUUGCUUUCAGGCCUCUGUCCAUCUCUUAGUUUUCCAUCCUCAGACAGGCUCUGCCCUGCCUUACAGUCUAGCAUUGUUGGCCAAAGGUGACUGACUGGCCCAGCUUGGGCUAUAUGUCCUUCCCUGUGGCCAGAGAGAUGUGUCUCUGUGAUGGCCAGGCUUGGGUCACGUACUCCCUCCCCUACCAGAAUCACAUGAAAAGAGGGAGGAAGAGCCGCUUUCCACCAAAGGAAACUGAAGUGCUAUUGUCAGAGGGGUUGCUGGGCAGACCAAAAAGAUGACAAUAUCUGCUCCAAUCGCUCGGGUUGUUGGUGCUUGGCAGAUUUGCCCCUACGUCACUUUUCAGAUGUGGAUAAGACUGAAGGUGACCACAGGCUUCCGAGAGGAAAGCUGCCAAUGGGGGUGUGAGAGGAGGGGGAAUUCUUACUCACCAAGGUUAACACUGUGCACACUGUUCUCCGAGGAAGUGGGAAUUUCCACAUGGUGAGUUCCCUUCCCUGUACAAUGAAUUACUAUCUUGAUGAGAAACCCGUGGGCAGCUGGUUGAGAAGAGAAAGGUAUUCUCUGAAUGAGAGGGAAUUUACCACCUUCCUUUCAAUGGUGACAGUUUUUUCUGGUGUCACCGCAGGGUGUGGAUUGAUUCAUAUACAAAUAUACAUAUCUACAUAGAUGCCAUUCUGCUAGCCUCUGCAAAAUGCAUGCCUGGAGACCAUUUCUGCUGCCUAGGAGAUGUCAACUUUGUCACCACCACUCUCUCUCCACCACUCCCACACCCUGCAGGGGCCAGGUGUGUGGGUGGGGAGCUCCCCAGCUGGAGGCCAGAUUAGAGGUCUCUGUGUGGUGGGGAUGGGGAGGAUGGGGUGGGAAUGAGGUGGUAGGCCACUGGCAGUGGUCCAAGUUCCAUCCAGGAUCUGUCCUAGGCCUCUCCCCAGGCUGUCGCUUCCACCAUUGAAUUUCUAACCUGGAUCUCUAAGGUUAUGAAUAUCUCAUUCCCGCAUCCUGGGGUGCUCAGACAUGUCUCCCCUGAGUCUCUAGCUGGGCUCGUGGCUGUGAUCAUUGUCCUCAGAGUUCCAUCCUCCCAACAAAGGGACAGAAGAAACACAGGGCCCACUUUUCUGGAUUCUGAGUUGGAGCCAAGAAAUUCUAUCUGCUGCUUCCUUCCUGUUGAAUUAUCCCCCAAGGACCCCUUAGUCCCUCCAGUCUCCUCCAGAGGCCUAUAGCUGCCCCAGCUCCCCAUGAUGGAUACCUGGCUCUUUCCUACCCAGAGGAAAACGCAGGCCCUUCCCCAGCCCUGCACUGAACUCCUGUGAGUGGCUGAGGAGAUGAGGAGGUGUGAAGAGUGAGUGUGUUGGGGAGGGAGGGGUCCCCUGCCACCAGGUACCAAGGACUUCUGCCAGAUCACCAGAACUGACACCUGGUUCCACCGGCCAGCUGUGAAGUGUCGGCCCUGACAUCAACAGCUGACCUCCCACAGGGCCUAAGGAAACGGAAUUGUGG
RNAcentral lists this long non-coding RNA (3385 nucleotides) under Homo sapiens (human). Its description in RNAcentral is "HSALNT0141061". Lineage: Eukaryota; Metazoa; Chordata; Mammalia; Primates; Hominidae. The record is from RNAcentral.